CUACGGGGUGCAGCAGUGAGGAAUUUUGCGCAAUGGGGGAAACCCUGACGCAGCAACGCCGCGUGAGCGAAGAAGGCCUUCGGGUCGUAAAGCUCUGUCAAGUGGGAAAAAAAUCUUUUGAUCAAUAGUCAAAAGACUUGAUGGUACCACUGGAGGAAGCACCGGCUAACUCCGUGCCAGCAGCCGCGGUAAUACGGAGGGUGCAAGCGUUGUUCGGAUUUACUGGGCGUAAAGAGCGUGUAGGCGGUUUAGCAAGUCAGAUGUGAAAGCCCUGGGCUCAACCCGGGAAGUGCAUUUGAAACUGCUUCACUAGAGUAUGGGAGAGGAGAUUGGAAUUCCUGGUGUAGAGGUGAAAUUCGUAGAUAUCAGGAGGAACACCCGUGGCGAAGGCGAUUCUCUGGACCAAUACUGACGCUGAGACGCGAAAGCGUGGGGAGCAAACAGGAUUAGAUACCCGGGUAGUC
RNAcentral lists this ribosomal RNA (464 nucleotides) under uncultured bacterium. RNAcentral describes it as "partial 16S ribosomal RNA". It matches the Rfam family "Bacterial small subunit ribosomal RNA", at positions 339 to 795 of the family's 1533-position model. The record is from RNAcentral.